UGAUGUUCUUCAUGACGGCGUUGUGGAUUCGGCGCGAUUGACGGCGGUUCGUGGAUUCGGAUCGUGAGCUUCGUGGAUUCGGAGUGGAGGCGUUUCGUGGAUUCGGAGCGAGGCGUUUCGUGGAUUCGGAGCGAGGCGUUCGUGGAUUCGAACGUGAGGGCGUGGACAACCCGGAGGAUUGCGCAAGAUUCGUAAGAGGUUAAGAGAGGUCGAGUCCGUGGAGUCGGUAAUCACCUUGUAAUCUUUUCUCUUAGUGAAUUAUUUUUUCGCGUGUUGGUCCCGUGGGUUUUUCUCCAAGUUUGGAGUUUUUCCACGUAAAUCUUGGUGUGAUUUUUAUUUUCCGUACUUACUUUUAUCGCAUUGAGAUUUGUGAU
This 374-nucleotide long non-coding RNA is filed under the name Ananas comosus (pineapple). RNAcentral's name for it is "long non-coding RNA (ACOM_LNC041980)". Lineage: Eukaryota; Viridiplantae; Streptophyta; Magnoliopsida; Poales; Bromeliaceae. The record is from RNAcentral.